This 400-nucleotide unclassified non-coding RNA is filed under the name soil metagenome. RNAcentral describes it as "partial contains 5.8S ribosomal RNA, internal transcribed spacer 2, and large subunit ribosomal RNA". The stretch from base 1 to 121 matches the Rfam family "5.8S ribosomal RNA", at positions 35 to 154 of the family's 154-position model. The record is from RNAcentral.
GAUGAAGAACGCAGCGAAAUGCGAUAAGUAAUGUGAAUUGCAGAAUUCAGUGAAUCAUCGAAUCUUUGAACGCACCUUGCGCCCUUUGGCUAUUCCGAAGGGCAUGCCUGUUUGAGUAUCGUGAACACCUCAACUCUCAUGGUCUGCCAUGAUGAGCUUGGACUUUGGGGGUCUUGCCGGCCUAGCGUCGGCUCCUCUCAAAUGGAUCAGCUUGCCAGUGUUUGGUGGCAUCACAGGUGUGAUAACUAUCUACGCUUGUGGUUUUCUACCAUGUAACCUUCAGCGAUGGAGGUUUGCUGGGGCUCACAGACGUCUCUCCUUGGAGGACAGCUUUUUGAACGUUUGAUCUCAAAUCAGGUAGGACUACCCGCUGAACUUAAGCAUAUCAAUAAGCGGAGGA